RNAcentral lists this non-coding RNA (181 nucleotides) under bacterium. RNAcentral's name for it is "6S RNA". It matches the Rfam family "6S / SsrS RNA". From Rfam's summary of the family: E. coli 6S RNA was the first non coding RNA to be sequenced, but its function was unknown until recently. It consists of 184 nucleotides that fold into an extended hairpin structure with a large single-stranded internal bulge. The record is from RNAcentral. RNAcentral also lists the same sequence under 1 other name.
AGAUCCCUGCUGUGUACGUGGUGAGUCGGCUAGUUUUGAGCCAACACCUUUGAAGAGGGAGCUACGGCUCUGACAGUUACGUACAUGCCCCUUAGGGGACGUACAACCCUGUCAGGCGGGCACCCACCUGCUUGAGAGAGCAGCUUCAAAAACGGCCGACCCACGGCAUGGUGGGGUAUUU